CCAGACUCCUACGGGAGGCAGCAGUGAGGAAUAUUGGUCAAUGGCCGGAAGGCUGAACCAGCCAAGUCGCGUGAGGGAAGACGGCCCUACGGGUUGUAAACCUCUUUUGUCGGGGAGCAAAGCGAACCACGUGUGGUUCAUUGAGAGUACCCGAAGAAAAAGCAUCGGCUAACUCCGUGCCAGCAGCCGCGGUAAUACGGAGGAUGCGAGCGUUAUCCGGAUUUAUUGGGUUUAAAGGGUGCGUAGGCUGUGAGGUAAGUCAGCGGUGAAAUGCCCCCGCUCAACGGGGUGAAGUGCCAUUGAUACUGCCUUGCUGGAAUGCGGAUGCCGUGGGAGGAAUGUGUGGUGUAGCGGUGAAAUGCAUAGAUAUCACACAGAACACCGAUUGCGAAGGCAGCAUACCGGCGCCCAACUGACGCUGAAGCACGAAAGCGUGGGUAUCGAACAGGAUUAGAUACCCUAGUAC
RNAcentral lists this ribosomal RNA (466 nucleotides) under uncultured bacterium. RNAcentral's name for it is "bacterial SSU rRNA". It matches the Rfam family "Bacterial small subunit ribosomal RNA", at positions 331 to 793 of the family's 1533-position model. The record is from RNAcentral.